RNAcentral lists this unclassified non-coding RNA (311 nucleotides) under uncultured Aphanoascus. RNAcentral's name for it is "partial contains 5.8S ribosomal RNA, internal transcribed spacer 2, and large subunit ribosomal RNA". The stretch from base 1 to 105 matches the Rfam family "5.8S ribosomal RNA", at positions 50 to 154 of the family's 154-position model. The record is from RNAcentral. Lineage: Eukaryota; Fungi; Ascomycota; Eurotiomycetes; Onygenales; Onygenaceae.
GAAAUGCGAUAAGUAAUGUGAAUUGCAGAAUUCCGUGAAUCAUCGAAUCUUUGAACGCACAUUGCGCCCUCUGGUAUUCCGGGGGGCAUGCCUGUUCGAGCGUCAUUGCAACCCCUCAAGCUCGGCUUGUGUGUUGGGCCACCGUCCCCGCGUGUGUGGACGGGCCUCAAAGGCAGUGGCGGCGCCGAGAUACCGGUGUCUGAGUGUAUGGGCUUCCGUCAGCACUCGUAGGACCCGAUCGGCCCCGGUCGUGACUAUUUUCAUCUUCUAGUUUUGACCUCGGAUCAGGUAGGAAUACCCGCUGAACUUAA